GCGGAAAGCUCAGUAACACGUGGCCAAACUACCCUGUGGAUGGGAACAAUCUCGGGAAACUGAGGCUAAUUCCCAAUAACGCUCCGCCCCUGGAACGGGCGGAGCUGGAAACGCUACGGCGCCACAGGAUGUGGCUGCGGUCGAUUAGGUAGACGGUGGGGUAACGGCCCACCGUGCCAAUAAUCGGUACGGGUUGUGAGAGCAAGAGCCCGGAGACGGAAUCUGAGACAAGAUUCCGGGCCCUACGGGGCGCAGCAGGCGCGAAACCUUUACACUGUACGCAAGUGCGAUAAGGGGACUCCGAGUGUGAAGGCAUAGAGCCUUCACUUUUGUACACCGUAAGGUGGUGUACGAAUAAGGGCUGGGCAAGACCGGUGCCAGCCGCCGCGGUAAUACCGGCAGCCCGAGUGAUGGCCGAUAUUAUUGGGCCUAAAGCGUCCGUAGCUGGCCGGACAAGUCCGUUGGGAAAUCUGUUCGCUUAACGAGCAGGCGUCCAGCGGAAACUGUUCGGCUUGGGACCGGAAGACCUGAGGGGUACGUCCGGGGUAGGAGUGAAAUCCU
Molecule: ribosomal RNA, 561 nt
Filed under: Halobacterium noricense
Lineage: Archaea; Methanobacteriati; Methanobacteriota; Halobacteria; Halobacteriales; Halobacteriaceae
Description: bacterial SSU rRNA
Rfam family: Archaeal small subunit ribosomal RNA
Source: RNAcentral